UUCGAGGGCAUAAAGGAGUAGGGACAGAGAGGCGGUGUUUUGGUUCCCAGGCGGAAGGAGAGGGACGGUGCACACCCUCAUCCAUGCCGGCUGUUUUGUUUGUUUGCGUCUGGGAAAAUUGUCGUCAUUUGGUCGCGCUGUUCGGACACAUCAGGUGUGACUUCAGGGGCUGAUCACCAAGUCAGUGUCUCUGGUGUGUAGCGGAGCUUGCGAUCGCAAAGUCACCGGAUGUUGUACUUGGCGGGUGUUGCUGGGAAGGUUUGGGCCCCGCACAUCAGGUACGCACAGAGAUAUGUAUUUGUUUUUGUCUAUGGCCACUGUGUAAUUGAUGUUGAGGAUAUGGUUUUGUAUUAUGUUUAUUGUGGGAUUAGUGAAAUGUAUUAAGAUGACCUGUCUGUGUGGGAGAAUAAUUGGAUCAUCCUAUAACAGUGCUUGUUAGGACGGAUAGAUAGAGGUUCACAGAUU
Labrus bergylta (ballan wrasse) is the source of this 465-nucleotide long non-coding RNA. RefSeq lists it as uncharacterized. Lineage: Eukaryota; Metazoa; Chordata; Actinopteri; Labriformes; Labridae. The record is from RefSeq and is a predicted model, not a curated record.